RNAcentral lists this ribosomal RNA (470 nucleotides) under uncultured beta proteobacterium. RNAcentral's name for it is "bacterial SSU rRNA". It matches the Rfam family "Bacterial small subunit ribosomal RNA", at positions 198 to 650 of the family's 1533-position model. The record is from RNAcentral. Lineage: Bacteria; Pseudomonadati; Pseudomonadota; Betaproteobacteria.
GGAGGAAAGCAGGGGAUCGCAAGACCUUGCGCUCAUUGAGCGGCCGAUGCCUGAUUAGCUAGUUGGUGAGGUAAAGGCUUACCAAGGCGACGAUCAGUAGCUGGUCUGAGAGGACGACCAGCCACACUGGGACUGAGACACGGCCCAGACUCCUACGGGAGGCAGCAGUGGGGAAUUUUGGACAAUGGGGGAAACCCUGAUCCAGCCAUGCCGCGUGAGUGAAGAAGGCCUUCGGGUUGUAAAGCUCUUUCAGCCGGAACGAAACGGUCACGGCUAAUACCUGUGACUACUGACGGUACCGGAAGAAGAAGCACCGGCUAACUACGUGCCAGCAGCCGCGGUAAUACGUAGGGUGCGAGCGUUAAUCGGAAUUACUGGGCGUAAAGCGUGCGCAGGCGGUUUUGUAAGUCAGAAGAGAAAUCCCCGGGCUUAACCUGGGAACUGCGUUCAUAAAAGGAAGCUAGAAGGGC